RNAcentral lists this ribosomal RNA (1459 nucleotides) under Salmonella enterica subsp. enterica serovar Weltevreden. RNAcentral describes it as "partial 23S ribosomal RNA". It matches the Rfam family "Bacterial large subunit ribosomal RNA", at positions 161 to 1547 of the family's 2925-position model. Lineage: Bacteria; Pseudomonadati; Pseudomonadota; Gammaproteobacteria; Enterobacterales; Enterobacteriaceae. The record is from RNAcentral.
AAUCCAUAGGUUAAUGAGGCGAACCGGGGGAACUGAAACAUCUAAGUACCCCGAGGAAAAGAAAUCAACCGAGAUUCCCCCAGUAGCGGCGAGCGAACGGGGAGGAGCCCAGAGCCUGAAUCAGCAUGUGUGUUAGUGGAAGCGUCUGGAAAGGCGCGCGAUACAGGGUGACAGCCCCGUACACAAAAGCGCAUGUGCUGUGAGCUCGAUGAGUAGGGCGGGACACGUGGUAUCCUGUCUGAAUAUGGGGGGACCAUCCUCCAAGGCUAAAUACUCCUGACUGACCGAUAGUGAACCAGUACCGUGAGGGAAAGGCGAAAAGAACCCCGGCGAGGGGAGUGAAAAAGAACCUGAAACCGUGUACGUACAAGCAGUGGGAGCCCCACCACCAAAGCGUUUCGCUUUGUGUGGUGCACAAAGAAGCGUAACGACAGCACUGAAUGACGGUUAACGGAGCGCAAGCGACGUUCAACAUACAAAGUCAAGCAGUGGAGCGCUUUGGGGUGGGGUGACUGCGUACCUUUUGUAUAAUGGGUCAGCGACUUAUAUUCUGUAGCAAGGUUAACCGAAUAGGGGAGCCGGAGGGAAACCGAGUCUUAACCGGGCGUUAAGUUGCAGGGUAUAGACCCGAAACCCGGUGAUCUAGCCAUGGGCAGGUUGAAGGUUGGGUAACACUAACUGGAGGACCGAACCGACUAAUGUUGAAAAAUUAGCGGAUGACCUGUGGCUGGGGGUGAAAGGCCAAUCAAACCGGGAGAUAGCUGGUUCUCCCCGAAAGCUAUUUAGGUAGCGCCUCGUGAAUUCAUCUCCGGGGGUAGAGCACUGUUUCGGCUAGGGGGCCAUCCCGGCUUACCAACCCGAUGCAAACUGCGAAUACCGGAGAAUGUUAUCACGGGAGACACACGGCGGGUGCUAACGUCCGUCGUGAAGAGGGAAACAACCCAGACCGCCAGCUAAGGUCCCAAAGUCAUGGUUAAGUGGGAAACGAUGUGGGAAGGCCCAGACAGCCAGGAUGUUGGCUUAGAAGCAGCCAUCAUUUAAAGAAAGCGUAAUAGCUCACUGGUCGAGUCGGCCUGCGCGGAAGAUGUAACGGGGCUAAACCAUGCACCGAAGCUGCGGCAGCGACGCUUAUGCGUUGUUGGGUAGGGGAGCGUUCUGUAAGCCUGUGAAGGUGGCCUGUGAGGGUUGCUGGAGGUAUCAGAAGUGCGAAUGCUGACAUAAGUAACGAUAAAGCGGGUGAAAAGCCCGCUCGCCGGAAGACCAAGGGUUCCUGUCCAACGUUAAUCGGGGCAGGGUGAGUCGACCCCUAAGGCGAGGCCGAAAGGCGUAGUCGAUGGGAAACGGGUUAAUAUUCCCGUACUUGGUGUUACUGCGAAGGGGGGACGGAGAAGGCUAUGUUGGCCGGGCGACGGUUGUCCCGGUUUAAGCGUGUAGGUGUGUGUUCCAGGUAAAUCCGGUU